RNAcentral lists this ribosomal RNA (503 nucleotides) under uncultured bacterium. RNAcentral's name for it is "partial 16S ribosomal RNA". It matches the Rfam family "Bacterial small subunit ribosomal RNA", at positions 28 to 523 of the family's 1533-position model. The record is from RNAcentral.
GAUGAACGCUAGCGGGAGGCCUAACACAUGCAAGCCGAGCGGGAUUUGAGACUAGCUUGCUAGUCUUAAUGAGAGCGGCGUACGGGUGCGGAACACGUGUGCAACCUGCCUUUAUCUGGGAGAUAGCCUUUCGAAAGGAAGAUUAAUAUCCCAUAAUAUAAUGAUUGGCAUCAAUUAUUAUUGAAAGCUCCGGCGGAUAGAGAUGGGCACGCGCAAGAUUAGAUAGUUGGUGAGGUAACGGCUCACCAGGUCGAUGAUCUUUAGGGGGCCUGAGAGGGUGAUCCCCCACACUUGUACUGAGACACGGACCAGACUCCUACGGGAGGAAGCAGUGAGGAAUAUUGGACAAUGGGUGAAAGCCUGAUCCAGCCAUCCCGCGUGAAGGAUUAAGGACCUAUGGUUUGUAAACUUCUUUUCUACAGGGAUAAACCUACUCUCGUGAGAGUAGCUGAAGGUACUGUAGGAAUAAGCACCGGCUAACUCCGUGCCAGCAGCCGCAGUAA